Molecule: long non-coding RNA, 294 nt
Filed under: Prunus persica (peach)
Lineage: Eukaryota; Viridiplantae; Streptophyta; Magnoliopsida; Rosales; Rosaceae
Description: long non-coding RNA (PPER_LNC005826)
Source: RNAcentral
AAAUGUUUACAUGACAAAAUGAAACAUAAGAAUGAAAGAGACAGAGAGAAACCAAGACAAAAUUAGCCAAAAUAGAGAAGAUUAAAAUUCGGAAAUCAAACACCCAAAUUCAGAAAUCCUAACAAACAAUUUAAAACUUGGAAGAGCACGUGUCUUGACAAAAAAGAGAUAGGAUUUGAAAUAAUAACCUGGUAAAUAGCUUGAACACUAUCCCUCCUAUACGAAUUUAAAUCUUCUCUCUUUCUGAGUUUGAACACUACCUCCUUUAUAUGAGCACAAACGGUUUUUAGUUAU